Molecule: long non-coding RNA, 566 nt
Organism: Myotis brandtii (Brandt's bat)
Lineage: Eukaryota; Metazoa; Chordata; Mammalia; Chiroptera; Vespertilionidae
Exons: 2
Source: RefSeq, a predicted model, not a curated record
UGUUAGUGAAUGACUUGUAUAAACUGAAACUGCAAAUUGUGAACACUGGAAAGCACCAUUGUGACAUAGAGUAAACAUCUUAGUAAUAUAUUAAAAUGAAUGUAAAUGGAGGUUAAAAUUACAUUACUGUGAAAACUCAUCUUCCAACUCUAAGUUAAGCUGUGGAGAUUUGUAUUAGUAGGUAACUGUUCAGAGCUUUGAAAACACUGCACAUUUCUGUACAAGCCAGAGUUAUCAUUUCUUUGUAACUUAUUCAGCUUGGCAAUUGCUUUUGAUUUGGUUGGUUGAUAACAUGAUAUAAUACAUUUAACUAAGAAGAAUCAUUUCUACACACUAUUUUUAAAAAUCAUCUAGAACUGAAAUCUACAGUUAAACUACCUGUGCUGAAAUUUGGGGAAGUUUAGGUUCUUUUUUUAAAAAGUAUUAAUAAUCAUUGACUAUAUCUAUGAUAAAGUGCUUAUUUUGGUUUACUUAGAUAAUGCUGCAGUUGGUGGAAAUGAUAAACAUUUAAAGUGUUAACACUCUGUGAAUGCAUUGGAUUUAAGAGAAUAAACAUUUUAUAAAAU